RNAcentral lists this long non-coding RNA (490 nucleotides) under Homo sapiens (human). RNAcentral's name for it is "PREDICTED lncRNA (TCONS_00162834)". The record is from RNAcentral. Lineage: Eukaryota; Metazoa; Chordata; Mammalia; Primates; Hominidae.
UUCAAAGCUUCCACUAGCAAUGUUAACAAUGAGGAAACUGGGUGUUGGGUAUUUAGGAACUGUAUGUAAUGUUCUUGCAAUUUUUCUGUAAAUCUUCAACUAUUCUGAAAUUUAAAGUUUAUUUAAAAAAAAUAAGCUGACUCACACCAAACCAGACUUUCUCCAUAACAGAAUCACUGAUAUGGUUAGGCUUUGUGUCCCCACCCAAAUCUUAUCUUGAAUUGUAAUCCCAGGUGUUGAGGGAGGGACCUGGUGGGAAGUGAUUGGAUCAUGGGGGCGGUUUCCUCCAUGCUGUUCUCGUGAUAGUGAGGGACUUCUCAUGAUAUCUGUUGGUUUUAUAAAUGGCAGUCCCCCUGGGCUUUUUCUGUCUCUCCUGUCACCUUGUGAAGAAGAUGCCUGCUUCUCCUUCCUCCAUGAUUGAGGCUGAUGUGGGCCAAGUGUGCGUGCACAAACACUGCCUUUGCCGUGAGCGCCUCCAGGUCCUGCGUAA